Molecule: ribosomal RNA, 253 nt
Filed under: uncultured bacterium
Lineage: Bacteria
Description: partial 16S ribosomal RNA
Rfam family: Bacterial small subunit ribosomal RNA
Source: RNAcentral
UACAAAAGGGGCAAGCGUUGUUCGGAAUUACUGAGCGUAAAGGGCGCGUAGGCAGCCCGCUAAGUCGAACGUGAAAUCCCUGGGCUCAACCCAGGAACUGCGUCCGAUACUGGCGGGCUUGAAUCCGGGAGAGGGAUGUGGAAUUCCAGGUGUAGCGGUGAAAUGCGUAGAUAUCUGGAGGAACACCGGUGGCGAAGGCGGCAUCCUGGACCGGUAUUGACGCUGAUGCGCGAAAGCCAGGGGAGCAAACAGG